This 623-nucleotide long non-coding RNA is filed under the name Cicer arietinum (chickpea). RNAcentral describes it as "long non-coding RNA (CARI_LNC002573)". Lineage: Eukaryota; Viridiplantae; Streptophyta; Magnoliopsida; Fabales; Fabaceae. The record is from RNAcentral.
UCAUUUCUAAUAAUUCAUCAUCUCCUAAAGUAUUGUGAUAAAGACAAUGAUAACAAUAUUUUUAAUCCAAUAAACAAUGAUAAAAAUGUUUUUAAUGUCAUCCCAACCCAAAUAAACCAAACACAAAAAUAAAAUAAAGAGACAUUUUACAGCGCUUAUCUUAAAAAGCGCUGUAAAAGAUCCUUUUAAAAAUAAAAUAAUGAGUGUUUUAUACCUUUUACAGCGCUUUUCACACAAAGCGCUGUAAACGUCUCUUUUGAAAAUAAAUAAAAAAGACAUUUUACAGCGCUUAUUUGACAAAGCGCUGUAAAAAAGCUUAAAAAAUAAUAUUCAUCAGACACCUAAUUUCUUCAAACACCUUGUACGCAUCAUGGAAAUCCAAAAAACAUCAGACACAAACCCAUUUCUUCAAACACCUUGUAUGCAUCAUGGGAAUCUCCAAAAACACAUUGUUAACAAAAACAUCAUACACAAACCCAUUUUUCGCAACAUGGCAAUGAUCCUGAAUACCAAGUUUUGAUUUAAGAAGGAAAGAGAAUAUAAAGAGAUAAAAAGGGUGUUGAGGUGGAGAUUGAAUUGUGAAAGAGUAAGCUUUGAUGUUUGUGAAGAAGAUGCAUAAAAGG